This 516-nucleotide ribosomal RNA is filed under the name Salmonella enterica subsp. enterica serovar London. RNAcentral's name for it is "partial 23S ribosomal RNA". It matches the Rfam family "Bacterial large subunit ribosomal RNA", at positions 1292 to 1791 of the family's 2925-position model. Lineage: Bacteria; Pseudomonadati; Pseudomonadota; Gammaproteobacteria; Enterobacterales; Enterobacteriaceae. The record is from RNAcentral.
GAAUGCUGACAUAAGUAACGAUAAAGCGGGUGAAAAGCCCGCUCGCCGGAAGACCAAGGGUUCCUGUCCAACGUUAAUCGGGGCAGGGUGAGUCGACCCCUAAGGCGAGGCCGAAAGGCGUAGUCGAUGGGAAACGGGUUAAUAUUCCCGUACUUGGUGUUACUGCGAAGGGGGGACGGAGAAGGCUAUGUUGGCCGGGCGACGGUUGUCCCGGUUUAAGCGUGUAGGUGUGUGUUCCAGGUAAAUCCGGUUCACUUUAACACUGAGGCGUGAUGACGAGGCACUACGGUGCUGAAGCAACAAAUGCCCUGCUUCCAGGAAAAGCCUCUAAGCAUCAGGUAACAUCAAAUCGUACCCCAAACCGACACAGGUGGUCAGGUAGAGAAUACCAAGGCGCUUGAGAGAACUCGGGUGAAGGAACUAGGCAAAAUGGUGCCGUAACUUCGGGAGAAGGCACGCUGACACGUAGGUGAAGUGAUUUACUCACGGAGCUGAAGUCAGUCGAAGAUACCAGCU